Molecule: long non-coding RNA, 1700 nt
Filed under: Callithrix jacchus (white-tufted-ear marmoset)
Lineage: Eukaryota; Metazoa; Chordata; Mammalia; Primates; Cebidae
Description: lncRNA (ENSCJAG00000083053.1)
Source: RNAcentral
UUGUGAAUGCUGGUGACAAAUAACAGAGGUGUUAGAGAUCAUGGAUGACAGAGAAAAUGAGGAUGAUAAUGACAGAGGUAAAUGGGGUGGGGAAAAGGAACUACCUGAGAUGCUGCAAGCUUUGCACCCCUUGCCAUCUUAACAAUGUUGUCUCAUUAAAUUUUCACUGUCCUGUGACAUAGAUGAGCAACCUGAGGCCCAGAGAGGGGAUGGUAUUUGCCUAAGGUCACACAGCUAAGAAGUUCUAAACUUAGAUACAAAUCCAGAUGUUUCUGACAAUGGAACAAAAAUUGUCUUAACAAAAAUUGUAUAGAUGUAUAUAAUUAAUAGUUUGGCUGGGUAUAGAUUUCUUGGUUGCAAAUCACUUCUCUGGAGGAUUCUGCAUAUGUCGUCUUAUUAUACUCUAGCCUUGAAAAAUUGAUUGCCAUUUAAAGACUUUACUUUUUUUUUUCCUUUAUGGAAGUUUUUAGAAUCUCCUCUUUUUCCUCUGUGUAUUUAUUUUUAAUUUUAGCUUUUAUUUCCUUAGUGAUGUCCUUACUGUAUAUUCCACUCUACUUAAUUUUUCAUUUUUGCCAUCAUAUUUAUAAUUUCCAAGAACUUAUUUCAUGUUCUGUGUACUUCUUUAUUAGGGCCUAAAGUAUCUUCUCUUUUUUACUUUGAAAGCCUCUAUUAUUUCACUUCCCCUUCUACAUUUUUUCUGUUUAGUUCAGAUUGUGUUUUUUGGACAACAGAAGCCUUCCCAAAUGUCUGAUGAUCUUUGUUUGUCAGUUGGUAUUUAAGAAUGGGCCACUGGUCAGAAGCAGCGUUUGCCUGGGCUGUAUGUGUUGAUGGUGGAUGUCACUGUAUCAGUUUUCUAGCUUUGAGAGACAGAGCAAGUCCUGAAGAAGUCCAUCUCCCUAGUUCCAGUGUUACUGAACAUUAUUUUCAUCCCUGGACUCUUUUAGGCUUGGUCAAUCUGGGAGCUACCCAGUAUCAAGUCUAUAAAUUCACCUUUUUGCGUAAGCUGGUUUGGAGGUUUUUUAAAAAAAUCACUUACAACCUGAAGAACUCUAAACAAAUACACAGCUGAGGUAAGUUGGGCUGAUCAUUUGAUUAAAUAAACAAUCUAAUACCAUUUUGAUAUUUUCCUGUAGAUGAAAUAUCCCAAUAUUGCAGUAAAGACUGUCCCUAGAAGUGAGCACUAAGGGCUCUGAGUAGACCUCGGGCUUGGAUGCCAUUGGAUUUUCCCUGACAAGUCCAGAUGAAGUUUCUCUAGGCUCAGUUCAUGACCUGCAUCCUUCCUUUUUCCACUUAUCUGGCAUUUAGCUGACUCUGCCUUACUAUCUUAUUAUCACGUUGUUUAACUUUUUUUUUUAGUUUUUUUGAGACAGAAUUUCACUCUGUCUUCCAGGCUGGAGGAUGGUAGUGCAAUCAUAGCUCACUGCAGUCUCAAACUCAUGGGCUCAAGUGAUCCUCUUGUCUCAGCCUCCUGAAUAAGUGGAACUAUGCCUGAGUAGCUGCCACGAUGCCUGGUUAAUUUAAAAUAUUUUUUGUAGAGACAGGGUCUUGCUAUUUAGCCUAGGCUAGUCUUGAACUCCUGGCCUCAAGUGAUCCUCUCACCUCAGCCUCCCUAAGUGUUGGGAUUUACAAGUGUGAGCCGCCACACCUGGCCAUGGUUUUUUAACUCUUAAUAUGAGAACGUCUUAUCUCCCUAAUUAAUU